GUGAAGGCGAGAGCGGCGUGUGUGUUUCUUCAACCUUCUCCCGUUAUUUUUCCCCUUUUUAAGGUGGUUCAAUACAGACGAGUGAAGGCGAGAGCUGCCUAACGGGAGAAGGUUGAAGAAGCACAACAAAGACACACCCAAAAAGAAUGAAGAAAUAUGCAUUAUCAUACCAUACUGUGGUUGAGAAUGGUUUCUAACUUCUACAUCAAGACUGAACUGCCACAUGCUCUUCCAUCUCAAGUCAUCCUGCAAUCUGAACCAGCAAGGUAAAAGCCCCAGAGAGGUUUACCCUUGGGACCGGAACCACCCCUCACCUCAGGACCUUUACCUACCAUGGACCAAAUACAUCACUCACAGAUGCUCAAUACCUGCCCAGAAUCUCAAGUUGUUUUUGUUAACCUGCUGGAUAUCAAACACAAGAUCAGGUUGGAUUUUGAUGCUCUUCACUGAUGUACUUCACAUAGCCCUUGGACUUCAAGAACAAAAGGCACUCUGUAAAGGUGACAGGAAUCACAAAAAGGAAUCUUCUCACCCUGCUUUCCUGCCAAGCGAGAAGUUUAGUGAACACAUCCAGCACUAAGCUCAGCGCCAUUAUGAGCGCUGCAGGAAUAAAAGAGUAGUAAGGGAGUGGAUGAAAAGCAGGGAGGGCUUUUGUUUCUUCUGUGCUGUGCUGUCCAUUGAUGAGGAGGUUGUUUGAGUAGAUAAGGAGAAUAAAUCCUGAGUUCUCUCUC
This is a long non-coding RNA of Micropterus dolomieu (smallmouth bass), 731 nucleotides long. RefSeq lists it as uncharacterized. The transcript has 6 exons. The record is from RefSeq and is a predicted model, not a curated record. Lineage: Eukaryota; Metazoa; Chordata; Actinopteri; Centrarchiformes; Centrarchidae.